CCUACGGGAGGCAGCAGUAAGGAAUAUUGGUCAAUGGAGGCAACUCUGAACCAGCCAUGCCGCGUGCAGGAUGACGGCCCUAUGGGUUGUAAACUGCUUUUAUACAAGAGAAAACCCUGGUACGUGUACCAGGUUGAUAGUAUUGUAAGAAUAAGCAUCGGCUAACUUCGUGCCAGCAGCCGCGGUAAGACGAAGGAUGCAAGCGUUAUCCGGAUUCAUUGGGUUUAAAGGGUGCGUAGGCGGACUGAUAAGUCAGUGGUGAAAUCUCUUUGCUUAACAAAGAAACUGCCAUUGAUACUGUCGGUCUAGAGUAUAGAUGACGUUGGCGGAAUAUGACAUGUAGUGGUGAAAUACUUAGAUAUGUCAUAGAACACCGAUUGCGAAGGCAGCUAACGAAACUAUAAACUGACGCUGAGGCACGAAAGUGCGGGGAUCAAACAGGAUUAGAUACCCUGGUAGUCCGCACCGUAAACGAUGAUUACUCGUUGUUGGCGAUAUGACAGUCAGCGCCAAGCGAAAGCGAUAAGUAAUCACCUGGGGAGUACGCCGGCAACGGUGAAACUCAAAUGAAUUGACGGGCUGAGGACGNGCGAGGCGACACAGGGGAGAGG
Molecule: ribosomal RNA, 611 nt
Filed under: uncultured bacterium
Lineage: Bacteria
Description: bacterial SSU rRNA
Rfam family: Bacterial small subunit ribosomal RNA
Source: RNAcentral